RNAcentral lists this unclassified non-coding RNA (1753 nucleotides) under Leishmania donovani. RNAcentral's name for it is "gene:LdHU3.18.1940(CDS-product:UAA_transporter_fa mily/Triose-phosphate_Transporter_family_putative)". Lineage: Eukaryota; Euglenozoa; Kinetoplastea; Trypanosomatida; Trypanosomatidae. The record is from RNAcentral.
CCGCCCCCUUCACACCGCAUCAAUAUGUGCCCUACACCCUCCUUGCUCACUCUCAUAGCUACACGCACAGACAUAUAUAUCUAGGAAACGAGAAUAAGCGAUAGACACAGACGUGCGCCUCCUUUUCCCCCUUCCCCCUCGCACCACACCACAGCCACCAAGUUGCGUGCGUGUGACAAUGGCAGACACGGCGCUGGGGCUGGCGAGCAUCUUCUGCGGCUGCCAGGCGAACGUCUUCUUGCUGGAGCUCAUCAUCACCGGCUCUCCGAACACUUACUACGCCCUCACUUGCGCUCAGUAUGUGUGCGUCGCUCUCUUCACCUUGCCUCUGCUGCUGCGCUUCAAGCAGCCACACGAGCAACAGGGGGCAACGCUCAAUAUGUGGCCGUUGCAGUGGCGGCGCUUUCGUGUCUCACUGCGCUACAAGCUGAUCCUCGCCGUCGUCGGGUGGGCCAUGUCGGUCGGCAACAACAUUGCCUUCGGCUUCCAUAUCUCCAUCCCGCUGCACGCCACUUUCCGCUCCUCCUCGAUGAUGCUCAACAUGCUUGCCGGGCACUUCUUCUUCGGCAAGCGCUUCACAGCGCCACAGGUGGCCUCUGCCUUGGUCAUCUUUGCCGGCCUCAUCGCUCUGACAAUCGAGAAGGCACGCAGGACGAGCAGCGCGGGGGCCGAGACGGCGUCUCGCACCGCAGCCGUCGCGUCGACCCCGACGUGGUACUGGGGCUGUGGAAUAGCCAUUCUGGUGGCCACCACUGCGUGCACGACGGCAUUGAGCGUCUUUCAGGAGCACAUGUACCGCUGCGCCCGUGCGAACGAGGCCGCAAGGAAGGCAGCGCCAUCGAGCGACGAUGCUCCGCCAAUGUGGACAGAGGCGCUCUGCUUCUCGCAUCUCUUUGCGAUCCCGCUCUUCCUUCUGCAGCCGAUGCGCCUCUGCACCGAGUUUGCGCACGUUGAUGUGGACAGCCAGCUGCACGUGGCGUUGAACUGCGUGACUCAGGUAGUUUGCAUCACCGGCGUGUAUGUGAUGAACGACAAGACCUCAGCCUUCACUCUCAGCCUGACGCUGACGCUACGCAAACUUGCCAGUUUUGUGCUCUCGGUCGUCUACUUUGGUCACUACCGGCACCUCUCGGCUGUGGAGUGGGUCGCCAUGGUUGGCGCUCUCAUGGCUGGCACCGCGUACCCGUUUCUACCUAAGGCUCAACCCGACCUUUCUGUCGCCGUAGACGCGAGCGCAUCGACAGAGACAAGUGCGAAGAAGAACAAGUAGCCGAUGUGCGUGUCUCAGUGUGCGUCGGAUGAUCUCCCUUGCUCCUGACAGCUGUCUCCAUCAUGAUCCGGCAUUGCACGCUAGAGGAGGAAGAGGAUGAGGAGGGGAGCGCUGGGGGGGGGGCAGAUCCAUACGCACGUACGACCAGCACGAACAAGGAUAACAGAAAGACGCAGCUGUCUUUGGGGCCGUGUGCCGAGAGGAGGCGAUGCCACACCCAAUCCUCACCUCACUGUAGCGAAGUACACCCGCUUGUGCGUAUUCGUGAACCAUAGCAUAUGCUUUACAUCGACUACUGUGGUAUUGCACGCGCGGUUCCCGCUGCCGGGUACGCCGCAACAACGGAAAAUGGGGCGAUGCGUGUUGCACGCCUCCCCGUGAUGCCGACGUCUCUCUUUUCUCCUUUCCUUGCCUCCCCCCUCUUCCCUCCCCCAUUUCGAUGCCACGACUUAACGCUUCGCCUUCGCCUACCUCUCCCUCCAG